GUCAGCAGGGUCCUGCUCUCGGGCGGGAAGCUUCCUUGCCUUGUCCUAACUCUGCACGGUUGCAGACAAUCCCGGACGGUCCUUGGCUUCUGUCUACAUCGUUCCUGUCUCUGCCUUCAUCCGCACAUGGCGUUCUCCCUAGUAUGUUUCUAUGCCUCUUCUUGUAAGAACACCAGCCACAUUGGAUCAAGAGCCCACCCUACUUGGAGCUACUGAAACCUUUGGAAUUUGCUAAGUGAUGAGAGCCAUAAAGGUAAUGAUGCCUCCAUUAAAACCCGAAACAGCCUGGAUUCGAAGUUUCCGGGUUGGUGAACUCCUGGAGGUUAGGAAGAGAAGCACGUCUGGAGAGGACACAGAAGCUCCACGUUCUUUCCCCCCCACCACGCCCCAUGCAUUUCUUCCAUCUGGCUGCUCACA
Molecule: long non-coding RNA, 417 nt
Organism: Suricata suricatta (meerkat)
Lineage: Eukaryota; Metazoa; Chordata; Mammalia; Carnivora; Herpestidae
Exons: 3
Source: RefSeq, a predicted model, not a curated record